Molecule: ribosomal RNA, 492 nt
Filed under: uncultured bacterium
Lineage: Bacteria
Description: partial 16S ribosomal RNA
Rfam family: Bacterial small subunit ribosomal RNA
Source: RNAcentral
AGUGAACGCUGGCGGUAGGCCUAACACGUGCAAGUCGAACGGCAGCACAGUAAGAGCUUGCUCUUACGGGUGGCGAGUGGCGGACGGGUAAGGAAUACAUCGGAAUCUACUUUUUCGUGGGGGAUAACGUAGGGAAACUUACGCUAAUACCGCAUACGACCUACGGGUGAAAGCAGGGGAUCUUCGGACCUUGCGCGAUUGAAUGAGCCGAUGUCGGAUUAGCUAGUUGGCGGGGUAAAGGCCCACCAAGGCGACGAUCCGUAGCUGGUCUGAGAGGAUGAUCAGCCACACUGGAACUGAGACACGGUCCAGACUCCUACGGGAGGCAGCAGUGGGGAAUAUUGGACAAUGGGCGCAAGCCUGAUCCAGCCAUACCGCGUGGGUGAAGAAGGCCUUCGGGUUGUAAAGCCCUUUUGUUGGGAAAGAAAAGCAGCAGGUUAAUACCCCGCUGUUCUGACGGUACCCAAAGAAUAAGCACCGGCUAACUUCGUG